This is an unclassified non-coding RNA of Fukomys damarensis (Damara mole-rat), 270 nucleotides long. Its record names the gene 7SK. It matches the Rfam family "7SK RNA". From Rfam's summary of the family: 7SK was discovered as an abundant small nuclear RNA in the mid-70s but a possible function has only recently been suggested. Two independent studies have found that 7SK RNA binds the CDK9/cyclin T complex (known as elongation factor P-TEFb). P-TEFb activates transcription by phosphorylating the C-terminal domain of RNA polymerase II. NCBI's taxonomy places the organism in Eukaryota, Metazoa, Chordata, Mammalia, Rodentia, Bathyergidae. The record is from Ensembl.
GGGUGUGAGGGUGAACUGGCUGCGAUAUCUGUCACCCCAUUGAUUACCAGGAUUGAUUCAGCUGAUCUGGCUGGCUAAGCGAGUGUGCUCUUCGGAGCUCACUGCUCUUUGUGCUCAGUUGAAAAAGAAAAGGAGGAUCACACAAGCAGCCGCACUUCCCUGCUAGAAUCUCCAAAAUCUCACUGACACUUUUUUUUGUUGAAAUAGAAAAAAAAAAAAUCCUAAAAUUCUUAAGGAAUCUCAAAGGAUUUUGAAUAGCUCAAAAAUCUU